Molecule: transfer RNA, 65 nt
Filed under: Arisubathynella cheongmiensis
Lineage: Eukaryota; Metazoa; Arthropoda; Malacostraca; Bathynellacea; Parabathynellidae
Description: tRNA-Val
Source: RNAcentral
CAUAAAUAAGCUUAUAUAGCAAUUCAGUUACAUUGAAUAGGUAUUGUUUAAAACAUUAUUUUUGA